Molecule: long non-coding RNA, 880 nt
Organism: Helianthus annuus (common sunflower)
Lineage: Eukaryota; Viridiplantae; Streptophyta; Magnoliopsida; Asterales; Asteraceae
Exons: 5
Source: RefSeq, a predicted model, not a curated record
UGCUCCCUCUAUCUCUCUCUCUCUCUCUCAAAUCUCUCUCUCUCUCUCUAUGAACUGUCUGCAACAAAGAACCAUCCUAAUCCGCCACACAUCACCAUCUCCAUCUAGAUCCACCACACCAUCACACCGCCUCCAUCCAGAUCCGCCACACCAUACCACCACCUCCAUCUGAAUUGCCACACAACACCUCCGCCUCCAUCUAGAUCUGCGACAACCACCACCACCGAAAGAAAAAACGUUAUUGUACGGUGAAGAAAGUCAAGGAUGAACUUAUUUUGGAUGGAAAUGACAUUGAGCUUGUUUCCAAAUUGUGUGCCUUGAUUAACCAGAAAUGUCAUGUGAAGAACAAAGAUAUCAGAAAGUUUCUUGAUGGUAUUUAUGUCAGUAACAAGGCAAAGAUAGAUGCGGGUGACAAUUAGUCGGUGGUUGUUAAUGGUGAUGGGUGGUGGUCUUUGAGAGGAAGAGAGAUAGGUGGUGCUAGUGAGGUGUUUAGGUGGUCGUUGUGAUGGUGGCUUGGGUGGUGGCCGGAUGGUGGUUGGAAUGUCAUUGGUGAAGCUUUAGGCUAAAAGUUAGGGAGAAAGAGGGUGUUGACUUGAAAGAGCUAUAAUUGUACCCCACGCGCGUUGCGUUGCGGUUGCAUUACGUUGCGGUCCACAAUUUUUCGUAAACGCUCAAGGAGUCCUUUCACCUGUCAUUUUUAAGGUUAUUUAGCAACUACGGAAUAGGCUGGAGCUGCUCGGUCUUGACAUAUUGGAAUUUGCAACUUCACCGAAAAAUAUCUUAUUAGGCUUAAGUCACCUUUUAUAUAUUCGAUCCGCCUGUGGAUUUUAGUAUGACUUGUAUAAUAUUUUUGUACUUUAUUUUAUUUACUUUAAAUUUU